AACGCCGCAACUAGCACCGGCUCCAAGACGCGUCGCUCAGACACUUCCUCCUUCAUUGGCGCCACUGAUCUAACAGCUCUAGAAAUUCAAGCAUGGAAGAAUAAAAGACAUAUAACCAUGUAUUUCACAAAAGCCCUGGUAUAACCAUACAAAGAAUGACAUCACAAGAAGGAUGGCUGCUCGCACUAAAUAUGAGAAGUUGGAAGAGUAGAUGGAGGAAGCUACAACUAACUUGGUCUCUCAAUCAAGUCAGAUAGAGGAAUUGAAGUUUCAUCCAAGGGAGUGUAAUCAAGAGGUUGCUAACAUGAAGAGUGCUCUGAUCGAAUAGUUUCUUGUUGGAUUCUCAAGUUUUUUAAGAUUAAGUGAUUUAUACUCUUAAGGAUUUGUUAGAUUCUUAGUUUGAACGUCAAGAAAAAUAGUUUAUUCAUCAAUGUUGACAUAUUCUCAAAAGUUUAUAUGAAUGUAUGUGUAUAUGAUUUUCUCAAAUUUCUCAAUUUUCCUUUAGACAUAUUUACAUCAAUGUAAGUUCAGUUGUUUGUUACAUCUAUUUGGUUAUAGUGAUCCU
Molecule: non-coding RNA, 565 nt
Organism: Arachis ipaensis
Lineage: Eukaryota; Viridiplantae; Streptophyta; Magnoliopsida; Fabales; Fabaceae
Source: RefSeq, a predicted model, not a curated record